CCCGUGUUGAUCCCGUGUUCAUCCCAUGUUGAUCCUAUGUUGCUUUGCUGCUCUACCCGUGUCCAUCCCACAUUGAUCCCGUGUCCAUCCCAUGUCAUCCCGUGUUGAUCCCAUGUUUGAGUCACUGCUGUACUCAUUUCCAUCCCAUGUUCAUCCCAUGUUAAUCCCAUGUUAUCCACUGCUGUUCUCAUCUCCAUCCUGUGUUAAUCCCAUGUUAAUCCC
Molecule: long non-coding RNA, 222 nt
Filed under: Meleagris gallopavo (turkey)
Lineage: Eukaryota; Metazoa; Chordata; Aves; Galliformes; Phasianidae
Description: lncRNA (ENSMGAG00000020227.1)
Source: RNAcentral